GGGCCGUUAGCUCAAUUUGGCUAGAGCGCCACAUUCGCAUUGUGGAGGUUGUCGGUUCAAGUCCGAUACGGUCCACCA
This 78-nucleotide transfer RNA is filed under the name Candidatus Komeilibacteria bacterium CG10_big_fil_rev_8_21_14_0_10_41_13. RNAcentral describes it as "tRNA-Ala". It matches the Rfam family "tRNA". From Rfam's summary of the family: Transfer RNA (tRNA) molecules are approximately 80 nucleotides in length. Their secondary structure includes four short double-helical elements and three loops (D, anti-codon, and T loops). Further hydrogen bonds mediate the characteristic L-shaped molecular structure. tRNAs have two regions of fundamental functional importance: the anti-codon, which is responsible for specific mRNA codon recognition, and the 3' end, to which the tRNAs corresponding amino acid is attached (by aminoacyl-tRNA synthetases). tRNAs cope with the degeneracy of the genetic code in two manners: having more than one tRNA (with a specific anti-codon) for a particular amino acid; and 'wobble' base-pairing, i.e. permitting non-standard base-pairing at the 3rd anti-codon position. The record is from RNAcentral. Lineage: Bacteria; Candidatus Komeiliibacteriota.